UACGUAGGGGGCGAACGUUGUCCGGAAUUACUGGGCGUAAAGCGCAUGUAGGCGGGCGACUAAGUCAGGGGUGAAAACCGUGGGCUCAACCUACGGCUUGCCCUUGAUACUGGUCGUCUUGAGUACAGGAGAGGGAAGCGGAAUUCCCGGUGUAGCGGUGAAAUGCGUAGAGAUCAGGAGGAACACCGAUGGCGAAGGCAGCCCCCUGGGCCUGUACUGACGCUCAUGCACGAAAGCGUGGGGAGCAAACAGG
This 253-nucleotide ribosomal RNA is filed under the name uncultured microorganism. Its description in RNAcentral is "partial 16S ribosomal RNA". It matches the Rfam family "Bacterial small subunit ribosomal RNA", at positions 524 to 776 of the family's 1533-position model. The record is from RNAcentral.